AUUCUUCAAGAAAAGCAGCUUCCUUCAAUCUAACCCAGUCCAGAGAAGAGUGAGCAUCAUCUUGUGCUCUCCAGAAAAAUAAAUUAAAGCAGAAUCCCCAGAAAUGAGAUCAAUACCUCAGGAGGUGAGAGACUUCACCUGCAAUGCGCACCUCCCCUGGUGUACUGUGUAUCCCAGGCCCAAGAAGAUACGACCAAGUGGCCAGAAACGGAAGCCUUUAAAAAUCACAAGGUCAAAUAGACAUUUUCUCC
Molecule: long non-coding RNA, 251 nt
Organism: Mastomys coucha (southern multimammate mouse)
Lineage: Eukaryota; Metazoa; Chordata; Mammalia; Rodentia; Muridae
Exons: 3
Source: RefSeq, a predicted model, not a curated record